AUCCAACUCACGAGUCCCAAAUAGAACGAAACGCAUGUCUUGGAU
RNAcentral lists this non-coding RNA (45 nucleotides) under Schistosoma curassoni. Lineage: Eukaryota; Metazoa; Platyhelminthes; Trematoda; Strigeidida; Schistosomatidae. The record is from RNAcentral.